GAUGAACGCUGGCGGCGUGCCUAAUACAUGCAAGUCGAGCGGUAAGGCCCUUCGGGGUACACGAGCGGCGGACGGGUGAGUAACGCGUAAGAAUCUACCCCAAACUGAGGGAUAACUGCUCGAAAGAGUAGCUAAUACCGCAUGUGCUCUACGGAGUAAAACUACGGCGGUUUGGGAAGAGCUUGCGUACGAUUAGCUAGUUGGUAAGGUAAUGGCUUACCAAGGCGACGAUCGUUAGCUGGUCUGAGAGGAUGAUCCGCCACACUGGGACUGAGACACGGCCCAGACUCCUACGGGAGGCAGCAGUGGGGAAUAUUGGACAAUGGGCGGAAGCCUGAUCCAGCCAUGCCGCGUGUGUGAAGAAGGCCUUUUGGUUGUAAAGCACUUUAAGCGAGGAGGAGGCUACUAGUAUUAAUACUACUGGAUAGUGGACGUUACUCGCAGAAUAAGCACCGGCUAACUCUGUGCCAGCAGCCGCCGUAA
RNAcentral lists this ribosomal RNA (483 nucleotides) under uncultured bacterium. RNAcentral's name for it is "partial 16S ribosomal RNA". It matches the Rfam family "Bacterial small subunit ribosomal RNA", at positions 28 to 523 of the family's 1533-position model. The record is from RNAcentral.